GUAGGUGGCAAGCGUUGUCCGGAAUUAUUGGGCGUAAAGCGCGCGCAGGCGGUUCUUUAAGUCUGAUGUGAAAGCCCACGGCUCAACCGUGGAGGGCCAUUGGAAACUGGAGAACUUGAGUACAGAAGAGGAAAGCGGAAUUCCACGUGUAGCGGUGAAAUGCGUAGAGAUGUGGAGGAACACCAGUGGCGAAGGCGGCUUUCUGGUCUGUAACUGACGCUGAGGCGCGAAAGCGUGGGGAGCAAACAGGAUUAGAUACCCUGGUAGUCCACGCCGUAAACGAUGAGUGCUAAGUGUUAGGGGGGUUUUCCGCCCCCCUUAGUGCUGCAGCUAACGCAUUAAGCACUCCGCCUGGGAGUACGGCCGCAAGGCUG
This 374-nucleotide ribosomal RNA is filed under the name uncultured organism. Its description in RNAcentral is "partial 16S ribosomal RNA". It matches the Rfam family "Bacterial small subunit ribosomal RNA", at positions 527 to 896 of the family's 1533-position model. The record is from RNAcentral.